Molecule: ribosomal RNA, 429 nt
Filed under: Acidobacteriota bacterium
Lineage: Bacteria; Pseudomonadati; Acidobacteriota
Description: Acidobacteria bacterium partial 16S ribosomal RNA
Rfam family: Bacterial small subunit ribosomal RNA
Source: RNAcentral
UGGGGAAUUUUGGACAAUGGGGGAAACCCUGAUCCAGCCAUCCCGCGUGUGCGAUGAAGGCCUUCGGGUUGUAAAGCACUUUUGGCAGGAAAGAAACGUCAUGGGUUAAUACCCCGUGAAACUGACGGUACCUGCAGAAUAAGCACCGGCUAACUACGUGCCAGCAGCCGCGGUAAUACGUAGGGUGCAAGCGUUAAUCGGAAUUACUGGGCGUAAAGCGUGCGCAGGCGGUUCGGAAAGAAAGAUGUGAAAUCCCAGAGCUCAACUUUGGAACUUCAUUUUUAACUACCGGGCUAGAGUGUGUCAGAGGGAGGUGGAAUUCCGCGUGUAGCAGUGAAAUGCGUAGAUAUGCGGAGGAACACCGAUGGCGAAGGCAGCCUCCUGGGAUAACACUGACGCUAAUGCACGAAAGCGUGGGGAGCAAACAGG